RNAcentral lists this ribosomal RNA (546 nucleotides) under Triticum aestivum (bread wheat). Its description in RNAcentral is "partial small subunit ribosomal RNA". The record is from RNAcentral. Lineage: Eukaryota; Viridiplantae; Streptophyta; Magnoliopsida; Poales; Poaceae.
AUGGAGAAGGCUUUGUCAGUUGGAGGAAAGGAGGUGCUCAUUAAUCCUCCGCACAAGGUCUCGGAGCACAUCAACUCUGCCACCGCAGCAUGGGACCGUGACGCCCUUGACGAGCACUUUUAUGCGAUGGAUAAGGAAGCGAUGUUAAACAUUCCUCUAAGCUCCAAGGUCCGAGAGGAUUUCUGGUCAUGGCAUUAUGAACGGAAAGGCAUCUUCACGACGGAGGACGCCAAGCUUUGGAUGUUAUGGCUUGUUGACAUGCUACCCUCGACACGCGUGUUUGUGACGAUGUGGGAAAUUUGGUGGGUGAGGCGUCGAGCCAUCCAUGAUAAUCAGUUUCAAAGAAAUAACAAGGAGCAACCACCGCUGACUGGGUGGGUCCCGCCUGAUAGCCACUAUGUGAAGAUGAAUGUGGAUGGUGGCUUUUCCAAGAUCAGAGACCGUGGAGCUUUAGCAGUGAUCUAUAGGGAUAAAAGAGGUAAUUAUCUUGAUGACUCAGCUAUUAUCUUUGAGGGUCUUCUGGAUCCAACAGUACUCGAAGCAUAG